Molecule: long non-coding RNA, 2981 nt
Organism: Mercenaria mercenaria
Lineage: Eukaryota; Metazoa; Mollusca; Bivalvia; Venerida; Veneridae
Exons: 9
Source: RefSeq, a predicted model, not a curated record
GAAUGCCAUUUGUAAAGAAAUAAAUGUAAAUAAUCGUCAAAUGCAGUACACUCGCACGAUGUUGCAAAUGCAUCAAAACGAAGACAUGUAACAGCUUUUUAAAACUGAAUUCUGGGAGUUCAAAGGUCAUAAGUACAAACUGCACUGAGAAAUGGGAAUGGACUUCUGAGUGUGUUGAUGACAAUAUAGGUCACAGGCCCAGUGGUUAAGGCGUCCACCUCGGGAUCGGGAGGUCGAAGGUUCGAGCCCCAUGGAGAGCGUUUGUCAGGGGAGUGUUUGUCAUGGGACUCAUUCUGAAAAGGCCUGUUCGUGAACAGCGAGCUAGUUAAAUGAAUGGUUACCGACUUCUAUCCGCCUAGCGCCUGGCAUAGUGGUAGGAGUUGGGAGAUGCCCACCACAUGUGAACUUGCCAUCAAACUGUCGGCUGGUAAGGUAUCCUGUAGCCCCACACCAUCUCCCCUAACAACAAAGGGACCAGGACUUCUGCUCAUUACUACAGUACCAACACAGAGACCGCAAAAAUUCCUAUGAUAUUAAAUGACAAUUUCCCCAACACUGGCUGGUUCCACUAUUAGUAUGCAGUAGGGGUUUCAACACCUUCAGGAUCCACAUUCUUUCCCACCAUCACUGUCAACUGUAUCAUCAAUACCAGAAUGUAAGUUUUGUAAAUAUGUUCUAUAUAGGCACCAUUUUCAGUGACAUUUUUAGCUUUACAUAGCUAUAUUUUGCCGUCCUUCCACGUUUAUACUUUAGUUAAAGUUUUGAUGCACAUGAUGGAUUUGCUUCAAACUUAAAAAUUAAUCCUCAUCAUCACCCACAUCAUCUGGCACACGGGCCAUAACUCUUGACCAAUAUUUGAUGAAUUACCUCUACCCGUUUACUUAGAAUUUCAGGUUAAAGUUACUGUGCACUUUCACUCUAUCUCAGUUUUUAUUAAAUAGAUUUGAUUCAAACUUAAAAUGGUUGUUCCACAUCAUCACCCAUUUGACACAAGGUUCAUAACUCUGGCACCAAUAUUAAUAGAAUCAUGCCCCUUUUUUACUUAGAAUUUCAGGUUAUUUUUUGUGCAUUUUGACCACAUCCAUCAUCAGCCACAUCAUUUUAUACAAGGGCCAUAAGUAUGACACAAGUAUUACAUGAGUUAUACCCUCUUUUGACACAGGAUGGCUGUAGAAUGAAUAGUAAUUUUGCACAUAACUUAUGUUUUUCUGCAUAAUGUUGCAACUUCAAAUAGAUUCAUGAAAACUAAAAAAAGGACAAGCUGUUAUCAGUUUGUUACAUUAACUGUAUAACACAACCUUGCUAUGCUCUGCAGACAUAUGGUUUUAGCUUGUCAUGAUGUACUACACGAGGUUUCUGACGUAACCCUUGAAUACGGUACAAAAUGCUACUAAUUUUUGUUAAGACUGUAUAGGGACCCUUCCACAGUCUCGUGAAUUUACUACUUGGCCGACUACUUGGCUGACUUUCCUUUGUGGGUUAUAAUACCACACCUGAUCACCUACAUCAUACUGUUGAAAGUUAGUAUCGAGGUCAUAUUUCUUUUUCAUGACCUCACUAGAGACUUUAAGCUUGUUCCUAGCAUAUUCAUGUAUUUCUACUAUUCUACUUUCCAAGGCAUUUAUAUAAUUAGAACCAUAUUUUAGUUUCGUUUCAGCAUUUUCUAAUUCAGGCUGUCCAAAGACAAGGUCAAUUGGGAGCCUUAUUUCAGAGCCAAAGACCAUAGUUGCAGGUGUGACACCAAUGGCUUCAUGUAUAGAACUACAAUGGGCCAUUAAACAUAAAGGUGUGCAGGGUUCCCGAUUGUUCCACUCCAGAGUACCAUGCAGAGAAAUGUGUCAGAUAUAUGUUGCCUCUGUCCUGUCUGUGUCUUCAGUAAAACACCAACACCAUUUUCUCCGCUGGUAUCCCAGGCACCAAAAGGUAUUCUGGCCCAACACCAAAUAGAUGUUCCAGCCUGACACCAUAAGGGUAUUCGGGCCCAACACCAAAUAGCUAUUCCAGCCCGAUUCCUGGAUAUUCCAGCUAAACACCUAGUUCAACAGCAAUACCGUCCUGAAGACCAGCACCUACAGUGUGGGAAGCCCAUUGUUGGACCCAAAAUUGAAGCCAUGUCUGCAAACAUAGGUGCCCAUGUUAUGUGGAUCCACAGCCAUACUGUAAGAUGGUUCAGAAUCCUGCCAACAAGUGCUGCAUGAAACCCUCAUGCAAUGCUUGUUCACAAACACCUACACCACAGACAUACUCACCAGAUCUAUGUGUAUAUGGAGAAGUACAUAUCAGGAAGGACAGUCGUGGUAUGAGGGCUGUAACAAUGUUUGUCGGUGUGGCAAAUGUAACAAAAACAUAUACACAUAUAGACAAAGAUUUGCAAUGCAUGUUACUAUCCCACAAGGCUGUGUACUGGUUCCUGACCCAAAAGAUCCCUCGUGCUGCUGGGUACCAAGUUGUUUGAUUUCUCCAAAACAAACCAUUGGUAUAGUGGUUGCUCCUGAACCUACUGGAACCGUAACAGGACUACAUCUCUGCGCGGAAGGAUUAAAAAACUACACCAGACAGGCGGCCAUGACAGAUAUCAGUGGGAAAUUUAAACAUGGACUAGAUACUUUGAUGUGUAGCAAAAAAGUUCAUUGUUGAUGGUGGUGUUUUUCUGUGAUAUAUUGACUGGGAUAAUAUUACUCUUCAGAAAUACAGAGCUGUCAAUGUUGCAAUUUUGUUGUGAAAUUCACAAUCCAUGUCCAAAAGUGCUUGUUUUACUAUACAGCAAAGAAGGAGAAAUUGUACUGGGCCGACACCUAUAUGGAAAAUAGUUAAUUUGGAAUUUCUCAGCAACCAAAGGGUUUACAGCAAUGAAACUUCACACACUAGUAGCUGAUAACAAUAAAAACCAGUGGCUAAAAGGAUUUUAUCAAGGUUUGUGAAAUUUUAAUUUUAUUGAAUUUUUAAAAAUUUAAUAGUUAAUUUUUCAUUUAAAUUAAGUA